AUUGAACGCUGGCGGCAUGCUUUACACAUGCAAGUCGAACGGUAACAGGCCUUCGGGUGCUGACGAGUGGCGAACGGGUGAGUAAUGCAUCGGAACGUACCCAGAGGUGGGGGAUAACGCAGCGAAAGCUGUGCUAAUACCGCAUGUGAUCUGAGGAUGAAAGCGGGGGACCGAGCAGCAAUGUUUGGCCUCGCGCCUUUGGAGCGGCCGAUGUCGGAUUAGCUAGUUGGUGGGGUAAAGGCCUACCAAGGCGACGAUCCGUAGCUGGUCUGAGAGGACGACCGGCCACACUGGGGCUGGGACACGGCCCAGACUCCUACGGGAGGCAGCAAUGGGGAAUUUUGGACAAUGGGCGCAAGCCUGAUCCAGCAAUGCCGCGUGCGGGAAGAAGGCCUUCGGGUUGUAAACCGCUUUUGGCAGGAACGAAACGGUGUCCGCUAAUACCGGGCGCUAAUGACGGUACCUGCAGAAUAAGCACCGGCUAACUACGUG
This 492-nucleotide ribosomal RNA is filed under the name uncultured bacterium. RNAcentral describes it as "partial 16S ribosomal RNA". It matches the Rfam family "Bacterial small subunit ribosomal RNA", at positions 29 to 507 of the family's 1533-position model. The record is from RNAcentral.